CUGAUUAGCUAGUUGGUGAGGUAAUGACUUACCAAGUCGAUAAUCAGUAGCUGGUCCGAGAGGAUGAUCAAU
Non-coding RNA from Beta vulgaris subsp. vulgaris (sugar beet), 72 nucleotides. NCBI's taxonomy places the organism in Eukaryota, Viridiplantae, Streptophyta, Magnoliopsida, Caryophyllales, Amaranthaceae. The record is from Rfam.